UCAAGCGUUCCCUAUAAAACAUAAGAUCGUUCACAACAGUGCUAAUACUGCCUCGGCCUUGAAAGCUACUAUAUAACCUAGACGUUUUAUUUUUUGUUCUCAUCUAAUUUUUUAGUCUUCUACUAUUAGUGAUUCUUAUCAAUAUGGCGUCUUACCUUCUUAUUCAUUUACGUUUCUUUCUAAAGUUUACAGUAUGACCUUUAUAGUCCUUAUAGUGUAUUCGUUCACAUAGACGGAUAACUCAUCAACUGUUGUAUUUUAUUCUUUUUGUUAUUUUUAUAACACACAUCAAAACAUAAUUUCAAAAUAAUGCUACCUUGUUAGUUUUCCUUUUUGAUGUCAACUUUAUGACAAAUCGUUGUUUUAAAUGUGUUUUACAAUAACGCUAUUAACAGAAUAUAUUCGAAAGAUAACACGAUAAAGGAGAUAAAAACAAACAAUUGAAACAGUUGAACAAAUUGACGUGAUUAUUAAAUUUGUUUCAUCAAAAACUUACUUUUAUUUUGCACGACAUUUAUUUUGACAUUUGAAAACAUUUAUAGUCGAUAAUUAUGCUCUUUUCCUUAUCUUCUAUCCUUUAGCAUUAUAUUCUUUUUUUUUAUGCCAAUUAAAAUUCUCUAUUCUUUGCGUCAAGUGCAUCAACAAUUUCUUAUACAAUGACCAAUCAAAAUCACCUUGAAACUAGAUGCGAUUAGAUGUAACUAGAGUAUAUGGUUAUGUCAGAUCUUUCAAUGGUAUUGCAUUUUCUUUUUUCUACUUUUCAUAUUUUUCGGUAAAAGGAAUCUUGGCAUCGAUUAACGAUCGAUUGAUCGAUUUUAUCGGAAACAUACGAGAAAUACGAAUACUUAACAAAAAGAAUAGGACCUUAAGUCGCAAACAGUAAAAGAUGCACUUAUUAAUUAAGCACUAUUAUCGUAAAUAUUUUUGACAUAUGACAUGUCAUGUAUAUUUUUGACAGACUACCGCCUAUUUAAAAGAUCAACGAUUCGUACUAUAACUUUGGUUUACGAAAAAGUACUAAAAUAUAUGAUGCUAAAUUAUAUUUAUUAAUAUAUUAUAAUUAUAUUGAUAAUAUUAUUGUACUACCACUAUCCCUUGAACCUUGAAGCAUGAAAAUACAUAAAGACGUACUUAUACUUAAUAUAUAUAAGUACGUAUAUAUGAUUAGACUAUAUAUAGAAAAGACAUUGACAUGUAGAUAAAAGAGACAGGGAAACGAUUUUCCUGUAAUCAUAGUGAAUAAUAUUGACAUGAGAACAAUUAUCUCCAAUCAUUUGAACUCGUGAAUUUUCAAAGAGAAAACAAUUAACAAAGUAAAUAAUAUGAGGUUAUUGAAUUUGUUAUUGCCGAUGUCGUAUAGACGACAUAGAGAUAUAUACAUAUGUAGUUAAGUGUGAUAAAUUAUUCCAAGAAUUAAUUAUUAUCUUGGUCGUUUUACUCCCUAGUUUACUUAUUACCAAGAGAGAAUUAUGAUUUCUAAACGAUUUUAUCUCAUAGAAAUCAUAUAGAAAAUGUUUAGAUGUUUUUACCUGGAAGAGAUUAAAUCAAAUAAUCGAUUGCAUCGGACAUUAUAUAUUUUCAUACAAACGAUUCAUCGAUGUAACUUUUGAACAUCUCAUAAUGAGGUUUGGUAGAUUGUCGAUUAUAACAAAUCGACGAUUACGUUACUUUGUACGUUCAAAUGCAAAUGAUGUUCAAAUGCAAACGACAAUUUUUCUUUGACCUUCGAUCAUUCGAGACGAUUACGCGAAGUCAUCGUGAUCACCACUCGGAACUCGACAGGAAUGUAUCGAUCUCUGAAAGGCUUGCCAUAGGUUUAUUCUUCUUCCUCUUUUGUGACGUAUCGUCGCGACUCUUGUAUUUAUUUUUCUUUUAUAUCAUCUGCAUAAUAAAACCGUUAUUUUCUUGAUGUUAUUUUCUCGAUGUGAUUUAUAAUUAAUCUUAACUGGAAAACGGUGAGCCUUUGAUUUUUUUUAUUUAGAUUUUUUUCGUUUUUGUUUUUCUCUGGUUUUUUGUUAAUUGUUUUUUUCGGUCUUAUUUUUAUGACGUGCAAUGUAAAAUACGUUGAAAAUUUUGAACCUUGUGAGUGACUAUAUCCAGAAAUUUUCGUUGGCCAGGUGAUUGCUCUUUUAAUUAAACCUCUCCAAGCCGAUCCUUCAGCCAAGUUUGAUUGCAAAUGCUAAGUAAGCAGUUAUGUCACGAAGGAGUCUCGAUCCUUUAUACCGAAUGAGUCAUUAAACGUAAAUAAAAGAUAAUCCUUUAUUUAUAUGCUGUAUACAAUGAACCGAAGCAAAUAAGUCAUUUGUAAUAUAGAAACGGAAAAUUAUUUAUAACUUCGUCAAGGCCAAUAUUUAAAGCCAUACUUACAAACGCUUCAGAAUGCAUUUAUUACUCAGCUUAAUGAGUAAGAUUGAGAAGAUUUCAUCAAUAUGCGCUUAAAUUUGUAUAUAUAAAUACACUUUAAUAACUUCUUACAGAAAAUCGCAAUUGUUUGUAACAAUUAUUUAUAACAUUGUCAAGGCCAAUAUUUCAAUCAUUAAUAUUUCAAUUUCAUUUAGUCUCAUAAAUGCUUAAGAAAGCCUUUUAUUACGUAACUUAAUGAAUAAGACUGAGAAGAUCUCAUCAAUUCGCGUUCUGAAUUGUAUAUGUAAAUACACUUUAAUAGCAUAUAUUUAAUUUCAGUUUUUUUUUGUAGAAAAUCACAAUUGUUUAUAACAAUUUUCAUCCAUCGUUUCGCUAUUUUAAUAGAGUAACGUACCAGGACUUUCUUAUUAGCGAUUAAUGAUUUAGAAGAAAGAUUUUAAAACUUCGAAACGAUAUAAUGUAACAGUGCGUUUAACGUAAAAAUCAUCGAAAAGCAUGGUUCUUUUUCGAUACAAAUACGAUUUCAUCAAUGGAUCCAAAGAAUGGUUUUCAGUAGUUGGUAGAGAACAAUAAUAUCGUACAAGCACACAUUAUGUAUCUACGGUCGGCCCUGGCUCUUAAGUUGAUUGUAUGACGUCGUCAAGUGAGUAAUGCUUGCAAUUCGAGUGAUGCUUGUAAAAUAUUCGAUUCAGUGCUAUAACAGUUCUGUUGUGUUGUGAUGUUUCGAUGGUGUAAUCAAUGUUUCGUCGCGUGUACCUCUCUAAUUACAUGUAUGCAGUGGACGCAUUAUCGAAUGCAUACGCUUAGGCGGGCUCGAGUUUAGAGUUAAGUAUUUCUCGUAUUCAAAUACUGUCUCGAAGUGACGGUGUAAAAAUUUUCCAAUAAAUACUGUAUGAAUAAUUCGAUUAAUAUAUUUAGAAAUAAAAAAGACAAAUGUUCUCUGAUUUUCUUUUUCUUGUUAAUUUUCUAAAUAUUUAUAUAAGGUUUAUUCGAAAGAAGAAAAAAAAAAACAAAAAUAAAAAUAAAUAUAUACAAACGCGGAAUAUUUAUCAUUUAUCGAAAAACGUUCCGUUUCGUACGACGAAUUUUAUUACCGUUUUGUUUGACAACAAAAGAUAAACGAUGAAUCGGCGAAGGCGAAGCGACAUCGUCGCGUGACUCGUUGGCCCCAACACGAUAUGCGAUGCUUCUAGGUCAGACCGUUUUGUUAUUUAGUUAUAUUUAGUGGCCAUUCACUGUUUUCACUGUCUACACGUCGGAUCGCGUAGUGUCGUAACUCGUUGUCUUUUGUCCAAAGUUCUCUUUUAAAAAAAAAAGGUAUAGAUACGUUGCAUCGAAAUGUCAUCAUUUCCGUUGUGAUCACGAAGCGUAACAAUAAUGUGAUUUUGAAGGUUCGUGUACUCAUGAUUUCCUCCCGUGCUACUAAUUUAUUAUUUAAAUGAAUACGAUAAAACGAAGAGAGCAAAAUUAGCAAUGAAUAGGAAAAAUAUUCAAAUAUAUCAACGAAUAGUAAGGACCUCAUAGUCUUUGAAGGAUAAUUCUUCUCCAUCAAAAGGAAUAUAAAGGCAGCCGUGACUAGGUUGUACCUGUAUAACAAAAUUAAUCGAUUUAUCGAUAUC
Molecule: long non-coding RNA, 3983 nt
Organism: Vespa velutina
Lineage: Eukaryota; Metazoa; Arthropoda; Insecta; Hymenoptera; Vespidae
Exons: 2
Source: RefSeq, a predicted model, not a curated record